CCUACGGGGUGCAGCAGUGGGGAAUAUUGGACAAUGGGCGAAAGCCUGAUCCAGCCAUGCCGCGUGUGUGAAGAAGGCCUUCGGGUUGUAAAGCACUUUCAGUGGGGAAGAAAGCCUUGGGGCUAAUACCCUCGAGGAAGGACAUCACCCACAGAAGAAGCACCGGCUAACUCCGUGCCAGCAGCCGCGGUAAUACGGAGGGUGCGAGCGUUAAUCGGAAUUACUGGGCGUAAAGCGCGCGUAGGCGGUCUGAUAAGCCGGUUGUGAAAGCCCCGGGCUCAACCUGGGAACGGCAUCCGGAACUGUCAGGCUAGAGUGCAGGAGAGGAAGGUAGAAUUCCCGGUGUAGCGGUGAAAUGCGUAGAGUUCGGGAGGAAUACCAGUGGCGAAGGCGGCCUUCUGGACUGACACUGACGCUGAGGUGCGAAAGCGUGGGUAGCAAACAGGAUUAGAUACCCCUGUAGUC
Molecule: ribosomal RNA, 465 nt
Filed under: Vreelandella stevensii
Lineage: Bacteria; Pseudomonadati; Pseudomonadota; Gammaproteobacteria; Oceanospirillales; Halomonadaceae
Description: partial 16S ribosomal RNA
Rfam family: Bacterial small subunit ribosomal RNA
Source: RNAcentral